ACUCAAUAGAUACCCCGGUAGUCCUGGCAGUAAACGGUGCGCGUUUGGUGUGGGAGGAUUCGACCCCUUCUGUGCCGGAGCUAAACGCGUUAAACGCGCCGCCUGGGGAGUACGGUCGCAAGAUUAAAACUCAAAGAAAUUGAACGGGGCCCGCACAAGCGGUGGAGUAUGUGGCUUAAUUCGAUGCAACGCGAAGAACCUUACCUAGCCUUGACAUGCAUCUCUAAGUCGGUGAAAGCCGGCGACUGUAGCAAUACAGAAUUUGCACAGGUGCUGCAUGGCUGUCGUCAGCUCGUGUCGUGAGAAUGUUGGGUUAAAGUUCCCGCAACGAAGCGCAACCCCUCGUCGAACUAGUU
This 356-nucleotide ribosomal RNA is filed under the name uncultured bacterium. Its description in RNAcentral is "bacterial SSU rRNA". It matches the Rfam family "Bacterial small subunit ribosomal RNA", at positions 772 to 1119 of the family's 1533-position model. The record is from RNAcentral.